CUCGAAGUAGCUCACCUGGUAGAGCAUCUGUUUGUAACAUAGAAGGUAAUCGGUUCGAUCCCGAUCUUCGAGA
This 73-nucleotide transfer RNA is filed under the name Mrakia frigida. RNAcentral's name for it is "tRNA-Tyr (GTA) (tRNA-Tyr-GTA-2-1, tRNA-Tyr-GTA-2-2)". It matches the Rfam family "tRNA". Rfam says of the family: Transfer RNA (tRNA) molecules are approximately 80 nucleotides in length. Their secondary structure includes four short double-helical elements and three loops (D, anti-codon, and T loops). The record is from RNAcentral. Lineage: Eukaryota; Fungi; Basidiomycota; Tremellomycetes; Cystofilobasidiales; Mrakiaceae.